CAGCUGUUCUCAGUUUGGAUUUCUCACCGUGUUCCCCGGGAACAAGACCCACAAUGCUGUGUGCAUCCCGGAGCCACUGCCCACUGAGCAAUAUGGCCAUUUGACUGUCAUCUUCCUGGUCAUGGCUGCAUGCAUUCUCUUCUUAACCACAGUCCAGCUCGGCCUGCACAUAUGGCAGCUGAGGAGGCAACACACGUGUCCCCGAGGUCAAUACCCAGCCGCUCCUGGAGGUGCAGUUACCACCAGCUGAGGAUGCUUGCAGCUUCCAGUUUCCUGAGGAGGAACGUGGGGAGCAGAUGGAAGAAAAGUGUCGUCUGGGGGACCGGUGGCCAUGAGGCCUGUUCUUCCUCUGUGCCCCAAGUCAGACUCUACAAGACUUGCCCAGAAAUACCCUUGGUGAGAGCAGGGGCUAUGCUCUGCGUCCUUCCCUGGGCCUGGCCCCACUCCCCUGGACAAUGGCGGAAGUGGGUGUGAGACGGUAGUGGUGAGUUACAACUGAGCCCUGUGGCUGCCUUUCUCAUUUGCCAGCUCUGUGGAGCAGGGUCUUUGGGCCCUCCAAGAACACCAAGUUUAGCACAAGAUCUUAUACAAGUGGUUUUCAAUAAAUACUUGUCUAGU
Molecule: long non-coding RNA, 618 nt
Filed under: Rattus norvegicus (Norway rat)
Lineage: Eukaryota; Metazoa; Chordata; Mammalia; Rodentia; Muridae
Description: long non-coding RNA NONRATT022958
Source: RNAcentral